Molecule: long non-coding RNA, 504 nt
Filed under: Phasianus colchicus (ring-necked pheasant)
Lineage: Eukaryota; Metazoa; Chordata; Aves; Galliformes; Phasianidae
Description: lncRNA (ENSPCLG00000008925.1)
Source: RNAcentral
AAAACUAAACAUACAUAAAGUACUCUAAAAGGACACUUCUGCUAGUAAGCAUCGCAUGGCUACCUCUCUCAGGAUCACACUGAAGAUUGGAAUUGUGCAGUUGGAUUGUGCUGGUAGGCACACCUUGUGGUACUGCAAAGAGGACCCCCUGCCACGUGUAUCUGUCCUACCUCGAGGCAACUCAGACUCUUACGGAGAGACCAGGACUUGAGAAGACAGGACCAUGCUAAUACAGAGCCACCAGAAGUUUUCAGAGAUGGACGUGCUGCUGUCCUUGAGAGGAACUGGAGGACGUCUCCAUUUCUGAACUUUACAACUGUUAUGCAGCUGAAAAACAUCUGGCACUACAAAGAGCAUGAAAGUGAGCUCCCACCCCACCAGCAGAAGCCAGUCACACCAGUAGAGUGGUGUACUACUGCUGCUUCAGCUGUCCAUCCUUCUGCCAGUGGCUGGAUGACUCAAGUCCCAGAAUCUUCUCAAAAAUAUGAGUUGGCUUUGAAGUGA